Long non-coding RNA from Pomacea canaliculata, 2349 nucleotides. RefSeq lists it as uncharacterized. The transcript has 3 exons. The record is from RefSeq and is a predicted model, not a curated record. Lineage: Eukaryota; Metazoa; Mollusca; Gastropoda; Architaenioglossa; Ampullariidae.
CCAUGUUUGCUUUCUGGUGAGAGACAACACUGACUUGUUAGUGCAGGACACAGUAUGAGAGAGCGGUUUGUUUGUCGUGAAAAUCCCUGCUGGGUCAGCUAGGCCUUUUUUCUCAUUCCGCAAAUCAAUCAAAUAUCCUGUUUUGUCAAUUUAAAAAAAAUUAUUACACUCGAGCAACACACAAAACUGUAACGGCGGUAGCCUUGCUCAGCCCUGAAAACACAUAGGUAUGGGUUCUGAUGGGAUUUAUCCGAACCUCGUGAAGUCUGACCAGUCAGUGUCAAUGAACUGUUCACUAUAAACACGAGUUGAAACAGCGGCCACUGAUGACAGGCUCGUGAUGGAGGGCUGUCCCCACAGCGUGACGUCAGAAGAUUUUCCUGUGUCGCACCUGCAGGAUCCAGGAUGAGACAAAGCUGGGAGGGAGAGUUCGUGUACUCAUGUAUCUAUCUGCAGGCCACGCCGAGAGAAGCUUAACAUAAUAUGUGCCUCCGAAAGCUCAAAAGCCAGCAUGUAGGUGUGCACGAGAUCAGCAGCGAAAAAUGCGUCCUUGGUGUUUAAAAGGUAAGAUUGGCUUUCCCACAAGCGUGACACCCUGGCUGGGGCAAGAAAAGUCGUGUGCACUGCACUUUUUUGUAAGGUGCAGCGGCGGAGGGCAGUGUGCAGAGAAAGUGUUUGUGCUGCGGCCAUGCAGGUAGUGGAGAGGGGAAAGAGAAAAGCUAGUGCGGCCUCGAUUCCGGCGGUCACCGAGGACGACAGAUGAUAAACACGACAAACACGUGGCAGGUCUGAGGAGUACCUGUCACUCAGCUGGACACGAAGUGAGUGGGGAAACCGCAGCUUCUAUGACACGAGGAUCAUUGACUGUGCUGGCAGACAGAGAGAGGGAUGCAAAAAACCAGCGGAGACGGAUCCUUUGAUGAUGAUGACCGAUCCGUCACGGUCAAGGGAUGGUCAGUGCCCCCCAUUGGACCAUUGAGUCGCCACUAUUACCUGACCUAUCAGUCGGAACGGGUGCUCGAAGACGUACACAGAGCCUUGACCCUUCAUCCAUCGAGCGUCUUGCGUGUUUAGGGGAUUCUUCAGUUGGACAGCGUGGCUGCAUGUUACGGAUCUCAAGCUGUAAUAUUUCAAUUAAAGCAGAAAUGCUGUGCAAAACUAUGGCUACCUCGCAAAUUAAACUGAAUGUUUGAGACAGUCCAGCCUUGCUGAGAAUGGUGUACGGUAUAGGUUGGGAGAGGAGAGAACAGAAAGAAAAACGAGUUUGGCAGCUCCAGCGUUUGAUUGAUUGCCCCCGUGACGGUGACGUAAAGUCAGUAAAUGACAGGAGGGACGUACAACACGGAGGUGAUUUGUGUGAAGGAGAUGUGUCUCCCAUGGCCGAGAACUCGGAGCACUGAAUUGCAUAAAAAGAACUCGCAAGAGCAGGGCAUUUUUACAGCCAAACUAUAACAUGUGAUGUGCAGGGGCUGUAGCUGUCAAGCGAGGACAAGUCGUUGCCGAGGGGUAACAUGGGAAACUCGAGGACAAGCGUCUUGAUUACGAAUUCAUACAGCGAUGUCUAGACUGCUCAGAUGAUGUUUUACUCCUUGAGCCUCGGUUAUCAGGCGUUGCUAAAGAUUCCCUUCAAGAAGUAUAAAAUGGUGUCCGCGGGGUCUGAAGAUAGCUUUAUAACUUCGGAAAUAGAUGCUUUUCCUUGAGUUCCUAUUUUGUCCUGAGGAAACGAUUUACUCUCGCUUCAUAAUUACAGCCCCAUUGUCUUAUCAAUAGUGUAAACAGGGGUAAGGGACGAUUAUGCAACAUGGUCGUCUCCAAAUGCUGUCAGUAGACUAGUGAUGUCUUAAAAUCAAAUAUGCGCCCGUGAUAAAGAAACUUUAAAAAAUAAGCAUUUAUUUUCGCAGAAGUGCUGGAGAAUCUGUAAAGAAAAAGCCUACUGCUUGACAAGAAACAACGGAUAGUUCUCUAAUAUAGAACAUAGGAAAGCGUUCGAAAGAGACUUCCCUGACAUCCUCCUCCUCUUCCUCAUUAAAUUGUGUAGAGGACAGCCAUGCUCUACAGCCGUGCUUUAGUGGAAAGCUGUACGAGUCUUAACAGCUAAAGUCUGUUCUGUCGUCGUAACAAAAACAGAUUGUGACACUUUAUAACAGCAGCACCAUAAACUGCCAAAUAUUUGUGAAUUCUGCUCAAUAAACGCUUACAACAUGAAUAGCUCGAGUUCAGCAAAAGUGAUACACAGCUAUAGAGAGAUGUUAUUAUCAGGAUGUUCAAACGACUAAACAUAAAUAUCAUAGUGCUAUUAAAUAAUCUUAUCAGCUAGAACGAGGUUACAGUGCAUACCAAAAAUGGGGG